RNAcentral lists this transfer RNA (77 nucleotides) under Sphaerodactylus townsendi. Its description in RNAcentral is "tRNA-Ala". Lineage: Eukaryota; Metazoa; Chordata; Lepidosauria; Squamata; Sphaerodactylidae. The record is from RNAcentral.
AGAGGUGAGCAUAGCUCACUGGUAGAGCAUCUGAUUUGCAUGCAGAAGGUUCUCAGGUUCAAUCUCUGGCAUCUCCA